RNAcentral lists this ribosomal RNA (1059 nucleotides) under uncultured Cryobacterium sp. Its description in RNAcentral is "bacterial SSU rRNA". It matches the Rfam family "Bacterial small subunit ribosomal RNA", at positions 337 to 1394 of the family's 1533-position model. Lineage: Bacteria; Bacillati; Actinomycetota; Actinomycetes; Micrococcales; Microbacteriaceae. The record is from RNAcentral.
UCCUACGGGAGGCAGCAGUGGGGAAUAUUGCACAAUGGGCGCAAGCCUGAUGCAGCAACGCCGCGUGAGGGACGAAGGCCUUCGGGUUGUAAACCUCUUUUAGUAGGGAGGAAGCGACUGGGUUUUCCUGGGAGUGACGGUACCUGCAGAAAAAGCACCGGCUAACUACGUGCCAGCAGCCGCGGUAAUACGUAGGGUGCAAGCGUUGUCCGGAAUUAUUGGGCGUAAAGAGCUCGUAGGCGGUUUGUCGCGUCUGCUGUGAAAACCCGAGGCUCAACCUCGGGCCUGCAGUGGGUACGGGCAGACUAGAGUGCGGUAGGGGAGAUUGGAAUUCCUGGUGUAGCGGUGGAAUGCGCAGAUAUCAGGAGGAACACCAAUGGCGAAGGCAGAUCUCUGGGCCGUAACUGACGCUGAGGAGCGAAAGCAUGGGGAGCGAACAGGAUUAGAUACCCUGGUAGUCCAUGCCGUAAACGUUGGGAACUAGAUGUGGGGACCAUUCCACGGUCUCCGUGUCGCAGCUAACGCAUUAAGUUCCCCGCCUGGGGAGUACGGCCGCAAGGCUAAAACUCAAAGGAAUUGACGGGGGCCCGCACAAGCGGCGGAGCAUGCGGAUUAAUUCGAUGCAACGCGAAGAACCUUACCAAGGCUUGACAUAUACCGGAAACGGCUGGAAACAGUCGCCCCGCAAGGUCGGUAUACAGGUGGCGCAUGGUUGUCGUCAGCUCGUGUCGUGAGAUGUUGGGUUAAGUCCCGCAACGAGCGCAACCCUUGUCCUAUGUUGCCAGCACGUAAUGGUGGGAACUCAUGGGAUACUGCCGGGGUCAACUCGGAGGAAGGUGGGGAUGACGUCAAAUCAUCAUGCCCCUUAUGUCUUGGGCUUCACGCAUGCUACAAUGGCCGGUACAAAGGGCUGCGAUACCGCAAGGUGGAGCGAAUCCCAAAAAGCCGGUCUCAGUUCGGAUUGAGGUCUGCAACUCGACCUCAUGGAGUCGGAGUCGCUAGUAAUCGCAGAUCAGCAACGCUGCGGUGAAUACGUUCCCGGGCCUUGUACACACCGCC